Molecule: non-coding RNA, 72 nt
Organism: Pangasianodon gigas (Mekong giant catfish)
Lineage: Eukaryota; Metazoa; Chordata; Actinopteri; Siluriformes; Pangasiidae
Source: the annotation of a GenBank genome assembly
UCCCUGGAGGACUAGUGGUUAGGUAUCGGUGUGCUCACUGCUGCAGCCCGGGUUCGAUUCCUGGCCAGGGAA